Long non-coding RNA from Micropterus salmoides (largemouth bass), 1258 nucleotides. RefSeq lists it as uncharacterized. The record is from RefSeq and is a predicted model, not a curated record. Lineage: Eukaryota; Metazoa; Chordata; Actinopteri; Centrarchiformes; Centrarchidae. The transcript has 3 exons.
AGCAUUGAGAUGAGGUGGCCCAACCAAGACUGACCGGCACUCCGGCUUACAUGGGGCACACCGGGCCCAGGUGAGUCCCGUGCUGCUGAUUACCCUGCCAAUCAGGUCUGCAGCCCUGGAGACACAAAUCAGAAGUGCGUAUAUCCCAUGAGACCAGGUUGUCGAAAGCGGCACGUUUCCUCUCUGCAGAAAAGACGAGAGAAGGCAGGCAGCUCCCAGGUAUAGCGCAAUAAUCAAGAUGGCGACCGGAUUUUGGACUUAAAAUGGCGAAAAUGAUAAAAAUCAGUCAGCAGAUUCCACCAUAGCCCGGCUGCCCCCGAAACCAGGGGGUGUCUGUUUUCAACAGUCAAGAAUGGUGCUGGUUCUGACUCUGGAAGACAGCUUGGAUUGAACAAAGAAUUAGACGAAACAGCAGCUGUGAAUCUUAGCCUGCCCGUCGUUGCAGUGCAAUAUUAUAAUAUAUUAAUAUAUUGAUUAAGGUAUUGACUCCCUGGUUCAUGUUUAAAUUACUGUAAAGAUUACACAUUACAGGUACAGUGGUAGUAGAUGUGGUAUGAUAGGUACACUAUGUACACUGGUAUGGGGAUUAUCUGGGGGUAUAAUCUGGCUACAAUGGGCACACUUAACAGGGUAUAAUGGGUAAAAUAGUUGCACAGGAUUAAGUGGGUGCACUGGGUUAACUGGUGUAAUAAGUAUAAGGGUGCAGGUAUAAUGAAGAUAAGAAAUUCACUGUAAAAUGUUGGUAGCACGAUUAGAAAGAUCUUAUUUUUGCUAUCAAAUGAUACAUUUCAGGCUGCUGAUAGUCUGCAUAUUUAUAAAAGGGAAAGGUCUUUCUGUGUGUGUGUGUGUGCUGGAAGCGUCUGGAUAUCCGGCAUCGGGCCAGCGCUGGGUGCAAUGCUGGAUUAUUCACACAUUCGACCUCCAACCUAGAACAACAACAAACAGCUCAGCGCUCGCUGCUCGCUCCGCCCGGCGCUCGCCAGAUUGGACGAUUACGGGUCGUGACACCGACGGUUUGGCAGUAACGUUCAUCUCACAUCAUCUCCGAGUACAGAGAUGACAGAAAACCAAGGGAGCUGCAACUUAAGGUCCUCAGCUGGAUUCAAACUGAGGAUGUUGCGGUUCAUUGUUGGCGUCUGAAACCCUGAGCCGCAGGAGGUAACCAGAGGCAUUUAUGUUCCCCGUUCUCCAAUACUAUGUCAUAAAAGCUAAUGACAUUCCCAUCAACCUCAGCUGCAUUAUGUUGCUACUGUAUGUG